UUUAAAGACAAUAAUAAAAAAUUAGACAAAAUCUCUGGGUUUCCAUUUUCUGCAUCUGGAAAAAUGAUUCUUACUUGCCUCCCAUCAUUACAAGAAUCCAUGGCACACUGUCCAGCACACAAUCAUGCUCAAUGAAUGAGAGGUUCCUUUUCUCCUUGACCAUCUGCAUCCAUUCUGGAUUCACACACAUGAGCUGAGGUCUUCAGACUGUCCAUUCCUCAGUUGUCCCUGCAUCAAGGGCUACCGCUUAUUCAUCCCGGCGUCUCCAUGAAAUCCAGCACAGUGCUGGGGAAACAACUGGGGCAGACAUGCAGUCAGAGGAAGCAAGCCUUAUCCAUCCCUGGAGGCUGACAGCACUUACAUGUUCACUCAUCUACUGCCUCUUGAGGGUGUUGACUUAGGCAUGGCCAGACUGUCUGGGUUGCGGAGAAGCUGGCCUGGCAGAAGGAAGUGGGGCUUUUGCAAAUAGUUUCCAGCAUGGAUCCUGUUCUCAGCCUGGCAGCUCCCACACACUGUCUCUCAAAGUAACCCGAAGCAGAUAUGCUAAGAGACUCCAGCGUUUUCAAAUUGUUCUCUUGGCUCACAGGAUGAGCUGGAAGCCCUUGAACAUAUCACCAGGGUUGAGAUUGGCAGACAUCCCCUCAGAAGAUGCUGAGUUCUCUGUUUCACUUGGCCGGGUCACUAGGGGUACUGGCUGAAGUGGAAGCUGCUAGGCAAAAACAGUCCAAUGGCCCUGGGUUUUGGCAAAGUCUCUAGAAGGAUUUCUUAAAUGUUCUGGUUUUAGCAGAGGCCAAAUUAUCUUUCUGAAGUAUGUGCUCCCUUAAUAUCAAAACUUUCACAUUUCAUGGGAAAUUCAAACCAUAUGUUUCCGUGCUAUUUACCUUUAAUGUACUCAAAUGCCAUCUUGUAAGAGAAGUUUGAUUUCAGGAAAAAAAUUGAGUCAUCAAUAAGCCCCCUUUCCUUGAGUCACGAAUCAGUAUUUUUCUUUUUUCUUUUUUUUUUUUUUUUUUGCAAAUUCCCCCAAAUCUCCCAUGCAAAGAACUCAGGUUGGAUCCUAAGUCCUUGGACCAGACAUUUCCAGAAGGAACAUUUUAAAUUCAAUUAUGUUCUAAACUCUUCAUGCUUUCUUUCAUCCAUAUUUACAACCAUAAAUUGUAGCCACACAGUUACUAGAAGCAAAGAAGCCAAAUAGAUGUUGAAAUGAUGACGCUGGCGCUGGAGCGAUGUGAUUGUAGUCAAUGUUUUGUUUUGUUUAUUCUUGACUGAUAAAGAUCAUUUCACAGUUUAUUUUUAGUCUUGUUCAUAGAAAUGGCAUUGUUCCUUGAGUACAA
This 1331-nucleotide long non-coding RNA is filed under the name Homo sapiens (human). RNAcentral describes it as "HSALNT0027594". The record is from RNAcentral. Lineage: Eukaryota; Metazoa; Chordata; Mammalia; Primates; Hominidae.